GUCUUCGGACGCUGACGAGUGGCGAACGGGUGAGUAAUACAUCGGAACGUGCCCAGUCGUGGGGGAUAACUACUCGAAAGAGUAGCUAAUACCGCAUACGAUCUGAGGAUGAAAGCGGGGGACCUUCGGGCCUCGCGCGAUUGGAGCGGCCGAUGGCAGAUUAGGUAGUUGGUGGGAUAAAAGCUUACCAAGCCGACGAUCUGUAGCUGGUCUGAGAGGACGACCAGCCACACUGGGACUGAGACACGGCCCAGACUCCUACGGGAGGCAGCAGUGGGGAAUUUUGGACAAUGGGCGAAAGCCUGAUCCAGCAAUGCCGCGUGCAGGAUGAAGGCCUUCGGGUUGUAAACUGCUUUUGUACGGAACGAAAAAGCUUCUCCUAAUACGAGAGGCCCAUGACGGUACCGUAAGAAUAAGCACCGGCUAACUACGUGCCAGCAGCCGCGGUAAUACGUAGGGUGCAAGCGUUAAUCGGAAUUACUGGGCGUAAAGCGUGCGCAGGCGGUUAUGUAAGACAGAUGUGAAAUCCCCGGGCUCAACCUGGGAACUGCAUUUGUGACUGCAUGGCUAGAGUACGGUAGAGGGGGAUGGAAUUCCGCGUG
Molecule: ribosomal RNA, 602 nt
Filed under: uncultured Delftia sp.
Lineage: Bacteria; Pseudomonadati; Pseudomonadota; Betaproteobacteria; Burkholderiales; Comamonadaceae
Description: bacterial SSU rRNA
Rfam family: Bacterial small subunit ribosomal RNA
Source: RNAcentral